GUUUUUAGAUGAAUGCUUACCUUGGGACUGCAUAUUGUAGAAAUGGGGGGCAGCCCGCACGAAACAAUUCAUAACAAAAUGAGAUCUUCGACACAGUUCUUAUGAGUCCCCGGACUCAUAUGUAGAAAUGUGCCCUCUGUUAGCAUUCAAUUUUUGAAAUGGAUUUUAGCCCUAGUUUACGAAACACCAGUUUUAUUUCUCAGAGUGCGGUUCGUUCCUUUGCGCUUUUCUUUCUAACGAAACCCUUGUUUUGAAAUUCUACG
Molecule: long non-coding RNA, 263 nt
Filed under: Amborella trichopoda
Lineage: Eukaryota; Viridiplantae; Streptophyta; Magnoliopsida; Amborellales; Amborellaceae
Description: long non-coding RNA (ATRI_LNC003293)
Source: RNAcentral